Molecule: ribosomal RNA, 348 nt
Filed under: uncultured bacterium
Lineage: Bacteria
Description: partial 16S ribosomal RNA
Rfam family: Bacterial small subunit ribosomal RNA
Source: RNAcentral
CCUACGGGAGGCAGCAGUAGGGAAUUUUCGGCAAUGGGGGGAACCCUGACCGAGCAAAGCCGCGUGAACGAAGAAGUUAUUCGUAAUGUAAAGUUCUUUUAACAGGGAAGAAAGAGAAAUUUGACGGUACCUGAAGAAUAAGCUCCGUCAAACUACGUGCCAGCAGCCGCGGUAAUACGUAGGGAGCGAGCGUUAUCCGGAAUUAUUGGGUGUAAAGGGUGCGUAGAUGGCAUAGUAAGUCUUUGGGAAAAUUGCGGGGCUCAACGCAGUAAGGCAAAAGAUACUGUGCAGCUUGAGUGUGAGAGAGGUAAGUGGAACUAGAGGUGUAGCGGUGAAAUGCGUAGAUAU